UACGUAGGGUGCGAGCGUUAAUCGGAAUUACUGGGCGUAAAGCGUGCGCAGGCGGUGAUGUAAGACAGAUGUGAAAUCCCCGGGCUCAACCUGGGAACUGCAUUUGUGACUGCAUCGCUGGAGUGCGGCAGAGGGGGAUGGAAUUCCGCGUGUAGCAGUGAAAUGCGUAGAUAUGCGGAGGAACACCGAUGGCGGAGGCAAUCCCCUGGGCCUGCACUGACGCUCAUGCACGAAAGCGUGGGGAGCAAACAGG
This 253-nucleotide ribosomal RNA is filed under the name uncultured bacterium. Its description in RNAcentral is "partial 16S ribosomal RNA". It matches the Rfam family "Bacterial small subunit ribosomal RNA", at positions 524 to 776 of the family's 1533-position model. The record is from RNAcentral.